ACAUGCAAGUCGAACGAAGACCCAGAGCUUGCUCUGGAAUUCUUAGUGGCGAACGGGUGAGUAACGCGUGGGAAUCUACCUAUAAAUGGGGAAUAACUAUUGGAAACGAUAGCUAAUACCGCAUAAGCCCUCCGGGGUAAAGGCUUCGGUCGUUUUUAGAUGAGCCCGCGUUAGAUUAGGCUGUUGGUGAGGUAAUGGCUCACCAAACCUACAAUCUAUAGCUGGUCUGAGAGGAUGAUCAGCCACACUGGGACUGAGACACGGCCCAGACUCCUACGGGAGGCAGCAGUGGGGAAUAUUGGACAAUGGGGGAAACCCUGAUCCAGCAAUGCCGCGUGAGUGACGAAGGCCUUAGGGUUGUAAAACUCUUUCAGAAGUGAAGAUGAUGACGGUAACUUCAGAAGAAGCUCCGGCUAACUCCGUGCCAGCAGCCGCGGUAAUACGGAGGGAGCUAGCGUUGUUCGGAAUUACUGGGCGUAAAGAGCGUGUAGGCUGUUAGGUAAGUCAGAGGUGAAAUCCCUAAGCUCAACUUAGGAACUGCCUUUGAUACUAUCUUACUAGAGAUCGAGAGAAGUUGGCGGAAUUCCAAGUGUAGAGGUGAAAUUCGUAGAUAUUUGGAAGAACACCAGUGGCGAAAGCGGCCAACUGGCUCGUUUCUGACGCUAAGACGCGAAAGCGUGGGUAGCAAACAGGAUUAGAUACCCUGGUAGUCCACGCCGUAAACGAUGAGUGCUAGCCGUUUGUGAUUUAUCACAAGUGGUGCAGCUAACGCGUUAAGCACUCCGCCUGGGGAGUACGAU
RNAcentral lists this ribosomal RNA (800 nucleotides) under uncultured Alphaproteobacteria bacterium. RNAcentral's name for it is "bacterial SSU rRNA". It matches the Rfam family "Bacterial small subunit ribosomal RNA", at positions 53 to 886 of the family's 1533-position model. The record is from RNAcentral. Lineage: Bacteria; Pseudomonadati; Pseudomonadota; Alphaproteobacteria.